This is a long non-coding RNA of Bombus huntii, 6058 nucleotides long. RefSeq lists it as uncharacterized. The transcript is spliced from 5 exons. Lineage: Eukaryota; Metazoa; Arthropoda; Insecta; Hymenoptera; Apidae. The record is from RefSeq and is a predicted model, not a curated record.
AAAGAUUUUUGAUAUUUAAAGGAUUAUAAUCACUUGCUUAUACAUUUGUCACUAGCUUAUAGCUUUGUGUAAUAGCUGCAAUAGCUGAGAGAUAACGCUAUACAGAACGGUAAAUAAAUAAAUGAUCAAAUAUUUGAGCUAAGCAGUAAUGACACCUAAUAUUUUCAAUGUAUAUAAUUAUUUCUUACAAGAAGUAUUCGACUCCCAUACUAAAAAUUCACAAAUAUUUUUCUCCAAAUAGAGAAAUUGUUUAUAUUCUUGUAUUUAAAAAUCUUCUGCUCAGUGUUGAAAAUACACUACAGUAUAGUAAUUAGAAAGCUGCAUAUUUGUAUGAAAUGAUCAUUAUUACAUUGGUCAUUUACGCGGCUUGGUUUGAAAAUGAAAUAGAAUAUAACCAGUGUCUAAAACUAAAAUUAUACGUAAAAUGGCCAAUCGUAGUAUCGUAAUCUGUCACCGAUAAUAAUUAAACGUACGGCGCAAGCGGUUUUCCAGGCGCCGUUAAAUUGCACGGUUUAUCAAGGAAGCUGCUGCUUUGAAGGAGCUUUAACACACGACAUAUUCCCGUUACCGUAAAUACAGAUCGUAUAUAAUGCAUUCACCAUGCACACAUUUCCUUUUUCAUAGUGGACGGAUACACGGACUUUAAAUCGCCGGUGAAGAAAUCCGAGUAGCCCAACCGGAUUCUCGACAACUGUUCGAGAGAUGAAAAGGGAAAAACUGAUUUACCGACGAUCAGCAAAUACCCGUUAGACUAUAAUGUUCGCCUAUAUAUGUUACUUUUUGUCCAUCUUUUUCCCUUUGCAGCUGUAAAUGGCUAUGGUAAUUGAAUUUUAUUGAACUUCCGCAGAAUAAGAAUAACCAAAGUAGAAAAUUCCAAAAUAGGAAGUAUUUAGAAUAUAAAAACCGAAGAAGGGAAAGAUCCAAAAUUGGCAAAAUCCAAAAUCGAAGAAUCCGAAAUGGGAAUAUUCGGAAUAGAAAAAUGUAAAAAGGAAAGAUCAAAAAUAGAAAAAUAAAAAGUGAGUAAAUCUAACUCUUUAUUUUCUAACUAUGAUGAAAAUUCCCCAGAUUUACUUUCUUACAGUAGAUUACCUAACUUUACCCCCUUAAAUUAAAUUAGUCAUAAAUAAGUAAUAAAUUUUGAGUAAGUAACAAAAUAAUGAAUUAAUAGUAUCUCUACACUGAAUUCGCCUCUAAAGCCACCGACAGAAUGCACAAAUGGCAAAUGUGGUCGAACGCAGUCAAACACCCACGUUUGCAUAUUAGAAUGCAACCGUAAACGCGUGCACACUUCGUGGGUCGUGAUGGAAAAAGAACUUACUAGGUAUAAAUAAAGUGAUUUCUCACGGCGCAGAUGGAAAGUGCGCUAAGGGAAACGUGGGCGAGAUUUCACGUUAUCGAUUCUGAAAUCGGACCGCGCGGGCCCACGCUGAAUCGCGUAAUAGCCCGCCUUUUAUUGACGAACAAUAACCGGCUAGCUUUUUAUUAAUGCUCCAAUAACGGCUGCUUAGUCCACUUCUGUUCCUAGAUCUUCGCUCCGCUAGAACCGUAAUCUGGUUUCGCGUGCUUUGUUUUACCCGAUCCCUUUGCAUUCAAAUGUCUGAUGUUUCUAGCACGAUGUUUGUAUAUGUAUAUACACGUUUUAGAAUUUUGCCAUGGUACAGCAGUCGUGUGGAUAGAUAGGAUCCUUUGUUCUGGUUCUGCAGUUUGAUGCAACGUUAAUGCAUCAGACAAUUAGGAAAUCCCGAACAUUAAUUUAUGUAAAUACAGUGAAUUAUAAGUAAAUUUUUAAAUAUACAAUCUGUCCUGCAUUUUCUUAUUUUUAUUUAAAUUUUGAAGAAGAUAUUCAUUGAUUUAAAAAAAUACUUAACUCUUUGAAUUAAAAUAUUGCAGUGGAGACUUCAGACGUUGAGUUCAAACAACGAGUGAUUUAAGAAUACGAAUCGAGCGAUUACGAAAGAGUUAUUCGCACAGGCUUUAAGUAUGCAUGCUGUGUGCACGCACGUGGUUCUCCAGGAUACCGGUCCGAGAGUCGUGAACUGUUACGCGGCCCGCAAUCAACAUUAACACGCUCCCCAUUACGUAGGAUGAUAUUUAUCCGAGGCAAGACACUCGGUGUCGAACAAUGACUGCAGCUAGCCAUUUAACAUUAGAACGAAAAUGAAUCACAGUUAAUUUUUUAUUAUCAAAGUGAUAAAAUAUUAGAAAUUAAACCACGUUUUCUUUUUCAGCAUCUAAAUGUAUAAAAGAUACAUAACUAUCAAAAUGAAGAGGAAUAAAUGAAAUUUUUCAUUUUCUGGAGAGUAAUUUAUGAACUUUACUGAGUUAAGCAAAACAAGAAUUCUUGUUAAAUAGUGUAAAAUCUGUUGCAACGUUUCUAGAUUUUUGGACUUCACUGACAAUAGCAAAUAAAGUAGGAAAUAAAAAAAGUAAUAUAUCAAAAACUGUUUUAGCAAUUCUGGAUUUUUGUAUAUUAAUAUGCCACAUUAAGUAAAAAAUAAAUGAAAUAGUGUACCAAAAUCUGUCAGCAGUUCUACUUUUGAAAUUAAAUUACAGAUUCCAUUGAGCAUACCAAGCUAAAUAAAGAGUAAAAUAGAAAAGAAAAUAAUGUAUCUAAAUUUAUUCCAGCACUUUUAGACUUGUGGAAACUAAUCUACAGACUCCACUGAAGAUACCAAGUUGAAUACAAAGUAUGAAAGAGCAAAUAGUAUAUCAAAAGCUGUCACAGUAAGGUAUCAUGAUAUGAAGGCACUUUAGGCUAGGAAAUAAAUUGAAAAGCUUGAUUAAAAGCUUCUAUAACGAAGGUGUAGCCUAGGCUCGGGUUAGGAAGAGCGAUUUCCAUAGCUUUUGCAACGGAUCAACAAUAUACAUAUCUCAGUCGGCCGGUGGCGAGCUGGUUGCCAGGCAGCGAGUUUCGUCCAGAAACCGGAGAAGGGAAAAACAUUUACUGUUGCGUAAACCGAAUAUUCUGACGUGUACAUUAAAUAACUGUUAUGAAACAUCGCACUAUGGACAAAGAAAAUUUCUUCCUAGUAGAUUACUUGCGCGAGUUUUUAUGGAUCAAAUGCAAAGAUCGAGUUCAUUACAUUGCAAAUCCUCUUUAAUUUCAGUGCAUUACGAAUUUUUUGCAUUAGGCCCUGCCUUCCAAAUACAAAUCUAAUAGCCUAAUAUCUAAUGAUUAGUUAUAGAAUAUGCCAUCUUUAUUUUGAGUAAAAACCUGAGACACCCUAUAUGUGGGAAAUAUGUUGCUGCAGUUGUGUUCAGUGAAUUCUGUGUUACAAAAUAAGCGUUGAUUCCGGUUCGAUCGCUGUUACAAGAUUAAUAAGCACGCUCGUAAAUUAUCGUCGGGCACGAUACAAGUUGCGCACCACUGAUUUAAUGGAUGACUCUCCCGACCUGGUGUGGUAAUCACAGUAAAAAAUCUUUCGUUCGAACGAGCUUGGAUCCUUGGUAAUUUUGUCGUCAACAACACUCCGUGCUCCUCUGCCCUUUAAUUAUAUAUUACCAAGAGAUCUCGAAAAAUCCACGCGAAAAACGUGGCUGUCGUGAAAAACUAUGACGCUGCUUGGUUCAACGACAUUGUAGCUGAAUACGAUGGUUGAAUAGCGUGGAAUAAUUGGGCGAGAUUCAUUAUUUGUAUGGAAAUGGUACAGUUAGAUAAUAGACGGAUGUUUAUGCAAAUUUGUGUUAUUAUGAAUAUGAUUCAAAAAAUGGAAUCCAUAGAGCAAUUAUUUAUUCACUAAAUAUUAUUACAAGUGCUAUGAGAACUGCAGAAGAUAAACCUAUUUUUUUAAGUCCUCAACAUGUUAUGUACCGAUUUAAUCUUUGUACAAAUCCUCAUAAGAAAUGAAAACAAUUGAGAUUGUAGUGAGAGUUGUUAUCCAAAUUUUUGGAAAUCUUUUUACGGGAGGAAAACAUGAUGAGACACAUUUUGAUUCCUUUUUACAGGCGAGCUCUGUUGCAAUUCGUUUUAUAUAUCGAGCAUUGGAUUUUUCAAAUUUAAUACGUCAUUAAUUAACGCUAUCAAAAUGAAGCAAACUUUGAAAUUAACCUAAGUUCUUGAUCAUCUAUGAACUAUGGAUAUAACACGUAAACAUCUAUAGUAUAAUAAUAAAAAAUAGUAAAAAGAAUUCAAAAAUUUUUUACAUGACUAUAUAAUUAAAUGGUUAUGCAAUAGUUACGGAAUAAUUUUGAUAACAAUCAGACAUGAUCUGAUAAUCAUAAUUUGCAAUUUUCAUUAAAAUUCGGAGUGAGCUAUGGAACGAUAUCAAGGGAAGAAAACUCGUAAAACUUGUUAACGGCGGUAAUUAAAGUGGUUGGUGAAGAAGUCUGACACUAUUACAUGAACGGGAUAAUAAUUGCUUCAUAAUGAUAUUUCUGAUGAAGAUAAUGUUUCACGGAUAGUUGUUGCCACCUGUACUUUUGGAAUUUUUUUCCUUCUUUUCCAUAUUUUUGUGAGUAAUAAGCUUGCCUCAUCAUGCGCUGUAUGAUUUCCAGGCCAGCCGCUAUUUGGCACGUUUUCAAUAUUUUUUUCCAGUCAUGCUUGCUUAACUUUUUGUGUAUCAUUACUCUUCUUUCCCUCUAAAAAUUUAUUUCAUGCGUGAUUGUACGUGCACAUGACCAUGUUAAGUAAUAUAUACACGAGCAGAAUUUUUAUAGUGGACCUUAUACAAAGAACUUUCCUCGCCGAGUUUCUUACGUGAUCACAAAAAUUCCUUAAAAACUGUAUCUUCAUAAAAGCCAAGUAGAAUCUGACCCAAUAUAUUUUACAAACUAUCACAGUGAACAAAUAUGGGAAACAAGUCUCAUAAGAUAAAAUUGAAUGAAGUAAUAUCAAUUACGUUUCAGGCCUAACUAAUGAUUACACUAAAGACUUUUAUGCAUUCAUAUGACAUUUAAAAGUGUAAAAGCGUAAAGGAUACAAUUAUGUGCAAAAUUAGGGAAGUUCUUUAUUCUGAAGCAAGAGGACCAAGUGGAAAGGCAGAGACUGUCUAUUAGUGUACGAAAUAAUGCCACAAUGUACCGUAAGCCUUGGUUGAGCCUUCACGCAUGGUGGAUCGAAGCUGACAGGACAGGAGGAACAGGCAAUAGCACACGAUCGAUUCGUGGCUCGUUACAGAGAGCCUGGUCGAAAGUUCGAACGAGGCCCGUACAUUAAUAUUUCCGUUAUUGCGCGCACGAGCACCGAGGUUAUGCCUUUCACACAGCCCAGUAAUAAUACGGAAAGUGAUCGUUCCUCUCCCAGUCGGCUGAUCGAUCACGAUGCGGAUUUUAACGAGCCUUCAUCCGAUUAACGCCCCACUGAUCACGCAAACCUGACUUCAGCCUACUUUAUUAACUUUUUUAUGAUGCUACAUUAAGCAGAAGAUCGCACUUAGUGUUAAUAGAAAUUUAAUGGAUUAUAGAAGGACACACAUGUAAUUUUAAUUGCUAAAUGGAAUAUGUUUUUAGCGUAUAGGAUGAGAAUAAUUAAGGAAAAAACAAGUAUAAGCAGUUUGAAACAGGUUAGAGGAUUAGUAAAGUGGAAUUAUGGAUGUUGGACAGAUAGCGUAUGUUGGAAAAACCCAAGUGAUUAAUUAAUGAUUGGUUUAAAUGGUACUUGUGUCGGGAUAGUAAUAGAGCAAUUAGUAGUAGAAUAAUUAUCAUUCGAACAUGGGAUUCUGAGGUCUCUGUGGUUUCAUAACACUGCUAGAUCCAUUCAAUCUUGGACUUCCUUUCGAAGAAGUUGUUGAUCGACUCUUAAUACGGUACAGAUAACUACUGCACUCUGUUCAUAGAAUUCUUGCACUGAGACGUCUUCCACUUGUCAAUGUUGUAAACACAGACUCACAAGAAGAGACAUCUUUUCAAGUAUUUGACCUGUCGCAAUUCAAGCUUUAAAAUGAGAUAGCUAAAUGUACUAAAUUUUAAUCAGCUUGAACAACAAAACUAUAAAUUAGUUAAAUUAAUUGUCAAGACAAGGAUCUUAAAGAAUCAAAACAAGCCAUAAAUCUCAAUUCGGAAUAGCAUUCAGCUUCCAAUUUUACAAUCAAACCAUAACAAUAACAGCAAUAAUUCAAGA